This 163-nucleotide unclassified non-coding RNA is filed under the name soil metagenome. RNAcentral describes it as "partial internal transcribed spacer 1". The record is from RNAcentral.
CCAGAGUGCCAUAGGCUCUCCAACCCACUGUGAACAUACCCAUCGUUCCCUCGGCGGGCUCAGCGCGCGCUGCCUCCGGGCUCCGGGCGUCCGCCGGGGACAACCAAACCCUGAAUUUAUUUGUGAUUCUCUGAGGGGCGAGAGCCCGAAAACAAAUAAAUCA